CCCUUAGAUGUUCUGGGCUGCACGCGCGCUACACUGAUGCACUCAACGAGUUUACGACCUUGCCCGAUAGGGUUGGGUAAUCUUUUUAAAAUGCAUCGUGAUGGGGAUAGAUUAUUGCAAUUAUUAAUCUUCAACGAGGAAUUCCUAGUAAGCGCGAGUCAUCAGCUCGUGCUGAUUACGUCCCUGCCCUUUGUACACACCGCCCGUCGCUCUUACCGAUUGAGUGCUCAGGUGAAUAAUUCGGACUGCAGCAAUGUUUGGAUCCCGAACGUUGCAGCGGAAAGUUUAGUGAACCUUAUCACUUAGAGGAAGGAGAAGUCGUAACA
This 326-nucleotide ribosomal RNA is filed under the name uncultured eukaryote. Its description in RNAcentral is "partial 18S ribosomal RNA". It matches the Rfam family "Eukaryotic small subunit ribosomal RNA", at positions 1470 to 1796 of the family's 1831-position model. The record is from RNAcentral.